Molecule: ribosomal RNA, 492 nt
Filed under: uncultured bacterium
Lineage: Bacteria
Description: partial 16S ribosomal RNA
Rfam family: Bacterial small subunit ribosomal RNA
Source: RNAcentral
AGUGAACGCUGGCGGUAGGCCUAACACAUGCAAGUCGAACGGCAGCACAGUAAGAGCUUGCUCUUACGGGUGGCGAGUGGCGGACGGGUAAGGAAUACAUCGGAAUCUACUUUUUCGUGGGGGAUAACGAAGGGAAACUUACGCUAAUACCGCAUACGACCUACGGGUGAAAGCAGGGGAUCUUCGGACCUUGCGCGAUUGAAUGAGCCGAUGUCGGAUUAGCUAGUUGGCGGGGUAAAGGCCCACCAAGGCGACGAUCCGUAGCUGGUCUGAGAGGAUGAUCAGCCACACUGGAACUGAGACACGGUCCAGACUCCUACGGGAGGCAGCAGUGGGGAAUAUUGGACAAUGGGCGCAAGCCUGAUCCAGCCAUACCGCGUGGGUGAAGAAGGCCUUCGGGUUGUAAAGCCCUUUUGUUGGGAAAGAAAAGCAGCAGGUUAAUACCCCGCUGUUCUGACGGUACCCAAAGAAUAAGCACCGGCUAACUUCGUG